Molecule: ribosomal RNA, 448 nt
Filed under: uncultured bacterium
Lineage: Bacteria
Description: bacterial SSU rRNA
Rfam family: Bacterial small subunit ribosomal RNA
Source: RNAcentral
AAUCAACGCUGGCGGCGUGCCUAACACAUGCAAGUCGAACGAGAAAGGGACUUCGGUCCUGAGUAUAGUGGCGCACGGGUGAGUAACACGUGAAUAAUCUACCUCCGAGUGGGGAAUAACCAAGAGAAAUCUUGGCUAAUACCGCAUAACACUUACGAGUCAAAGCAGCAAUGCGCUUGGAGAGGAGUUCGCGGCCGAUUAGUUAGUUGGCGGGGUAAUGGCCCACCAAGACGAUGAUCGGUAUCCGGCCUGAGAGGGCGCACGGACACACUGGAACUGAAACACGGUCCAGACUCCUACGGGAGGCAGCAGUGGGGAAUUUUGCGCAAUGGGGGAAACCCUGACGCAGCAACGCCGCGUGGAGGAUGAAGUAUCUUGGUACGUAAACUCCUUUCGAUGGGGAAGAUAAUGACGGUACCCAUAGAAGAAGCCCCGGCUAACUUCGUGC